Molecule: ribosomal RNA, 496 nt
Filed under: uncultured bacterium
Lineage: Bacteria
Description: bacterial SSU rRNA
Rfam family: Bacterial small subunit ribosomal RNA
Source: RNAcentral
UGAGUAAUGUCUGGGAAACUGCCUGAUGGAGGGGGAUAACUACUGGAAACGGUAGCUAAUACCGCAUAACGUCUUCGGACCAAAGUGGGGGACCUUCGGGCCUCAUGCCAUCAGAUGUGCCCAGAUGGGAUUAGCUAGUAGGUGGGGUAAUGGCUCACCUAGGCGACGAUCCCUAGCUGGUCUGAGAGGAUGACCAGCCACACUGGAACUGAGACACGGUCCAGACUCCUACGGGAGGCAGCAGUGGGGAAUAUUGCACAAUGGGCGCAAGCCUGAUGCAGCCAUGCCGCGUGUAUGAAAAAGGCCUUCGGGUUGAAAAUACUUUCACCAAGGAGGAAGGCAUUAGGUUAAUAACCUUAUGGAUUGACUUUCCCCGAAAAAAAAGCACCGGAAAAUCCGUGCCAACACCCGCGUUAAUACGGAGGGGGCAGGGUUAUUCGGAAUUACGGGGCGUAAGCGCCCCCGGGCGUUUGUCAGUCGGAUGUAAAACCCCGGG